This 468-nucleotide ribosomal RNA is filed under the name uncultured bacterium. Its description in RNAcentral is "partial 16S ribosomal RNA". It matches the Rfam family "Bacterial small subunit ribosomal RNA", at positions 28 to 507 of the family's 1533-position model. The record is from RNAcentral.
GACGAACGCUGGCGGCGUGCUUAACACAUGCAAGUCGAACGGAAAGGCCCUGCUUUUGUGGGGUGCUCGAGUGGCGAACGGGUGAGUAACACGUGAGUAACCUGCCCUUGACUUUGGGAUAACUUCAGGAAACUGGGGCUAAUACCGGAUAGGAGCUCCUGCUGCAUGGUGGGGGUUGGAAAGUUUCGGUGGUUGGGGAUGGACUCGCGGCUUAUCAGCUUGUUGGUGGGGUAGUGGCUUACCAAGGCUUUGACGGGUAGCCGGCCUGAGAGGGUGACCGGCCACAUUGGGACUGAGAUACGGCCCAGACUCCUACGGGAGGCAGCAGUGGGGAAUAUUGCACAAUGGGCGGAAGCCUGAUGCAGCAACGCCGCGUGCGGGAUGACGGCCUUCGGGUUUUAAACCGCUUUCGCCUGUGACGAAGCGUGAGUGACGGUAAUGGGUAAAGAAGCACCGGCUAACUACGUG